Molecule: transfer RNA, 66 nt
Filed under: Myotis myotis
Lineage: Eukaryota; Metazoa; Chordata; Mammalia; Chiroptera; Vespertilionidae
Also listed under: 1 other name
Rfam family: tRNA
About the family: Transfer RNA (tRNA) molecules are approximately 80 nucleotides in length.
Source: Rfam by way of RNAcentral
UUGGUUGCUCAGUGGUUAGAGCAUCAGCCUGCAGACUGAAGAGUCUUGGGUUCGAUUCCCAGUCAA